Ceratotherium simum simum (southern white rhinoceros) is the source of this 178-nucleotide non-coding RNA. The record is from RefSeq and is a predicted model, not a curated record. Lineage: Eukaryota; Metazoa; Chordata; Mammalia; Perissodactyla; Rhinocerotidae.
UCUGACAAACUUUCAGAUUAUAAAACUGAACUGGGUAAGAAAUUACAGAACUCUAACAGAGAAACUGAUGGGCCCAUAAAACUGCUAAGAGAAGAUUAAGAUCAAAAAUCAAUUACACAGGACUGAAUGAACUGAUGAGGAUGAUUAUAAUUUUUAUGACUUUUCAUUUGAAAUAUUG